AUACGGAGGGUGAAAGCGUUAAUCGGAAUUACUGGGCGUAAAGCGCACGCAGGCGGUCAAUUAAGUCAAAUGUGAAAGCCCCGCGCUUAACUUGGGACUUGCAUCUGAAACUGGUUGGUUAGAGUCUUGUAGAGGGGGGCAGUAUUCCCCGUGUAGCGGUGAAAUGCGUAGAGAUGUGGAGGAAUACCGGUGGCGAAGGCGGCCCCCUGGACAAAGACUGACGCUCAGGUGCGAAAGCGUGGGGAGCAAACAGGAUUAGAUACCCUGGUAGUCCACGCUGUAAACGAUGUCGAUUUAGAGGUUGUGGUCUUGAACUGUGGCUUCUGGAGCUAACGCGUUAAAUCGACCGCCUGGGGAGUACGGCCGCAAGGUUAAAACUCAAAUGAAUUGGCGGGG
Molecule: ribosomal RNA, 396 nt
Filed under: uncultured bacterium
Lineage: Bacteria
Description: partial 16S ribosomal RNA
Rfam family: Bacterial small subunit ribosomal RNA
Source: RNAcentral